AUUGAACGCUGGCGGCGUGCCUAACACAUGCAAGUCGAGCGGUAACAGGUGUAGCAAUACAUGCUGACGAGCGGCGAACGGGUGAGUAAUGCUUCGGAAUCUACCCAAUGGUGGGGAAUAACCAGCCGAAAGGUUGGCUAAUACCGCAUACGUCCCACGGGAGAAAGCAGGGAUCGCAAGACCUUGCGCCAAUGGAUGAGCCGAAGUCGGAUUAGCUAGUUGGAGGGUAACGGCCUACCAAGGCGACGAUCCGUAGCUGGUCUGAGAGGACGACCAGCCACACUGGGACUGAGACACGGCCCAGACUCCUACGGGAGGCAGCAGUGGGGAAUAUUGGACAAUGGGGGAAACCCUGAUCCAGCGACGCCGCGUGUGUGAAGAAGGCCUGCGGGUUGUAAAAGCACUUUUUAGUGGGGAUGAAAUGUUCAGGGUUAACACCUCU
RNAcentral lists this ribosomal RNA (442 nucleotides) under uncultured bacterium. Its description in RNAcentral is "bacterial SSU rRNA". It matches the Rfam family "Bacterial small subunit ribosomal RNA", at positions 30 to 474 of the family's 1533-position model. The record is from RNAcentral.